Molecule: ribosomal RNA, 616 nt
Filed under: uncultured bacterium
Lineage: Bacteria
Description: bacterial SSU rRNA
Rfam family: Bacterial small subunit ribosomal RNA
Source: RNAcentral
GGCCCACCAAGGCGACGAUCAGUAGGGGUUCUGAGAGGAAGGUCCCCCACAUUGGAACUGAGACACGGUCCAAACUCCUACGGGAGGCAGCAGUGAGGAGUAUUGGUCAAUGGACGAGAGUCUGAACCAGCCAAGUAGCGUGCAGGAUGACGGCCCUAUGGGUUGUAAACUGCUUUUAUAAGGGAAUAAAGUGAGUCUCGUGAGACUUUUUGCAUGUACCUUAUGAAUAAGGACCGGCUAAUUCCGUGCCAGCAGCCGCGGUAAUACGGAAGGUCCGGGCGUUAUCCGGAUUUAUUGGGUUUAAAGGGAGCGUAGGCCGGAGAUUAAGCGUGUUGUGAAAUGUAGACGCUCAACGUCUACACUGCAGCGCGAACUGGUUUCCUUGAGUACGCACAAAGUGGGCGGAAUUCGUGGUGUAGCGGUGAAAUGCUUAGAUAUCACGAAGAACUCCGAUUGCGAAGGCAGCUCACUGGAGCGCAACUGACGCUGAAGUUCGAAAGUGCGGGUAUCGAACAGGAUUAGAUACCCUGGUAGUCCGCACGGUAAACGAUGGAUGCCCGCUGUUGGUCUGAAUAGGUCAGCGGCCAAGCGAAAGCAUUAAGCAUCCCACCUGGGG